GAUGAACGCUGGCGGCGUGCCUAAUACAUGCAAGUCGAGCGAACAGACGAGGAGCUUGCUCCUCUGACGUUAGCGGCGGACGGGUGAGUAACACGUGGAUAACCUACCUAUAAGACUGGGAUAACUUCGGGAAACCGGAGCUAAUACCGGAUAAUAUAUUGAACCGCAUGGUUCAAUAGUGAAAGACGGUUUUGCUGUCACUUAUAGAUGGAUCCGCGCCGCAUUAGCUAGUUGGUAAGGUAACGGCUUACCAAGGCAACGAUGCGUAGCCGACCUGAGAGGGUGAUCGGCCACACUGGAACUGAGACACGGUCCAGACUCCUACGGGAGGCAGCAGUAGGAAAUCUUCCGCAAUGGGCGAAAGCCUGACGGAGCAACGCCGCGUGAGUGAUGAAGGUCUUCGGAUCGUAAAACUCUGUUAUUAGGGAAGAACAAAUGUGUAAGUAACGAUGCACGUCUUGACGGUACCUAAUCAGAAGGCCACGGCGAACUACGU
This 496-nucleotide ribosomal RNA is filed under the name uncultured bacterium. RNAcentral describes it as "partial 16S ribosomal RNA". It matches the Rfam family "Bacterial small subunit ribosomal RNA", at positions 28 to 506 of the family's 1533-position model. The record is from RNAcentral.